Molecule: ribosomal RNA, 626 nt
Filed under: Hepatozoon canis
Lineage: Eukaryota; Apicomplexa; Hepatozoidae
Description: bacterial SSU rRNA
Rfam family: Eukaryotic small subunit ribosomal RNA
Source: RNAcentral
UUUAUUAGAAGAGACGCAUUUAUUAGAUAAAAAGCCAAUGCAUGCUUUUACAGUAUGGAAAUUGGUGAUUUAUAAUAACUUGGCAAAUCGCAAAGUGAAAACAGGCGAUAAAUCAUUCAAGUUUCUGACCUAUCAGCUUUCGACGGUAUGGUAUUGGCUUACCGUGGCAGUGACGGUUAACGGGGGAUUAGGGUUCGAUUCCGGAGAGGGAGCCUGAGAAACGGCUACCACAUCUAAGGAAGGCAGCAGGCGCGCAAAUUACCCAAUUCUAACAGUUUGAGAGAGGUAGUAACAAGAAAUAACAAUACAAGGCAAUUAAAAUGUUUUGUAAUUGGAAUGAUAGAAAUUUAAACCCUUUUUAAAGUAUCAAUUGGAGGGCAAGUCUGGUGCCAGCAGCCGCGGUAAUUCCAGCUCCAAUAGCGUAUAUUAAAAUUGUUGCAGUUAAAAAGCUCGUAGUUGAAGUUCUGCUAAAAGUAACCGGUCUGCUUUUAAUAAAAGUGGUAUCUUGGUGUGUAUUUAGCAAUGAUGUCCUUUGAAGUGUUUUUUACUUUAUUGUAAUAAAGCAUAUUCAGGACUUUUACUUUGAGAAAAUUAGAGUGUUUCUAGCAGGCCGACGCUUUGAAUAC